RNAcentral lists this ribosomal RNA (465 nucleotides) under Vreelandella stevensii. RNAcentral describes it as "partial 16S ribosomal RNA". It matches the Rfam family "Bacterial small subunit ribosomal RNA", at positions 338 to 795 of the family's 1533-position model. The record is from RNAcentral. Lineage: Bacteria; Pseudomonadati; Pseudomonadota; Gammaproteobacteria; Oceanospirillales; Halomonadaceae.
CCUACGGGAGGCAGCAGUGGGGAAUAUUGGACAAUGGGCGAAAGCCUGAUCCAGCCAUGCCGCGUGUGUGAAGAAGGCCUUCGGGUUGUAAAGCACUUUCAGUGGGGAAGAAAGCCUUGGGGCUAAUACCCUCGAGGAAGGACAUCACCCACAGAAGAAGCACCGGCUAACUCCGUGCCAGCAGCCGCGGUAAUACGGAGGGUGCGAGCGUUAAUCGGAAUUACUGGGCGUAAAGCGCGCGUAGGCGGUCUGAUAAGCCGGAUGUGAAAGCCCCGGGCUCAACCUGGGAACGGCAUCCGGAACUGUCAGGCUAGAGUGCAGGAGAGGGAGGUAGAAUUCCCGGUGUAGCGGUGAAAUGCGUAGAGAUCGGGAGGAAUACCAGUGGCGAAGGCGGCCUUCUGGACUGACACUGACGCUGAGGUGCGAAAGCGUGGGUAGCAAACAGGAUUAGAUACCCUUGUAGUC